CUUUAAUUAAAAUAACUUCCCCUCCCUCUUGCAAUGACUUCUCUUCUCUUCUCUGAUGACGUGUUUACUGGAGCGAGAGCGGCACAACCUGUCAAUCACAUGAUAUUACAACAAUGGCCGAGUUUCACUCGAAUAUACAUCACAAAAGGGAAGAAAGACUCACAACUACUGUUUCAUGUCAACUUUAAGGGUCUGAUGUCAUGUGUUUGUUUUCACACAUUGACCGCAAGUUUGUUUGUCACUGGCUUUAAAAAGAAGACGAGUGCUGACUAUAUCUACAACGAACAAGGAACAAGAUCAUUUAAUGUUUGACGGUUAAAGAGCAGUCUGAUGAUAUUUAUGAAGAUGUGAUCAGGACUGAGUCUGAGGGAAUGAACACAGACAGAGUGGAGAUGACAGUGGUAAUCUAUGAGAGUGCAGAAUGUGUGAGAGAUCAUGACUUCAGGACAGAGACAAACACACACCAACCACUUCAGCGUACAGGAAGUGAUUAUGUGAGGAACAGAAGCUCCAGAGCAGCUGCAGUGUGUUUGGUGCUGCUGUGUGUUCUUCUGCUGACUGCAGUCAUAGUGCUGUGUGUCCACAUCCAUACAAAGAGCUCAAACAACACACAAGAGACACACCAGCUACUAACUAACAUCGCCAACCUCACAGAAGAGAGAGACCAGCUACUAAACAAGAACAUAGCCUUGACAAAUGAAAGGGAUGAAUUAACUAAAGAAAGAGACCAGUUCAAUCAGAAGAGAAAUGAACUGUGGAAGAUGCUCAAUGAAAUUGGUGGAUAUAUUUAUCAAUCCAGUCUUUACUUCAUUUCUUCUGAGAAGAGGAACUGGGCUGAGAGCAGAAGAUACUGUACAGAGAGAGGAGCAGAUCUAAUCAUCAUCAACAACAAAGAGGAACAAGAGUUUGUUAAAAAGAUGUCUGAUGGUGCUGGAGUCUGGAUUGGUCUGACUGACAGUGAUGUGGAG
Long non-coding RNA from Ctenopharyngodon idella (grass carp), 968 nucleotides. RefSeq lists it as uncharacterized. The record is from RefSeq and is a predicted model, not a curated record. The transcript is spliced from 4 exons. Lineage: Eukaryota; Metazoa; Chordata; Actinopteri; Cypriniformes; Xenocyprididae.